AACCUGCCCUUUGCACUGGGAUAGCCUCGGGAAACCGAAGGUUAAUACCGGAUACUCCAUAUCCAUCGCAUGAUAGAUAUGGGAAAGCUCCGGCGGCAAAGGAUGGGCCCGCGGCCUGUUAGCUAGUUGGUGGGGUAGUGGCCUACCAAGGCAAUGAUGGGUAGCCGGGUUGAGAGACCGACCGGCCAGAUUGGGACUGAGACACGGCCCAGACUCCUACGGGAGGCAGCAGGG
This 234-nucleotide ribosomal RNA is filed under the name uncultured Atopobium sp. RNAcentral describes it as "partial 16S ribosomal RNA". It matches the Rfam family "Bacterial small subunit ribosomal RNA", at positions 123 to 354 of the family's 1533-position model. Lineage: Bacteria; Bacillati; Actinomycetota; Coriobacteriia; Coriobacteriales; Atopobiaceae. The record is from RNAcentral.